AUUGAACGCUGGCGGCAGGCCUAACACAUGCAAGUCGAGCGGAUGAAGGGAGCUUGCUCCUGGAUUCAGCGGCGGACGGGUGAGUAAUGCCUAGGAAUCUGCCUGGUAGUGGGGGAUAACGUCCGGAAACGGGCGCUAAUACCGCAUACGUCCUGAGGGAGAAAGUGGGGGAUCUUCAGACCUCACGCUAUCAGAUGAGCCUAGGUCGGAUUAGCUAGUUGGUGGGGUAAAGGCCUACCAAGGCGACGAUCCGUAACUGGUCUGAGAGGAUGAUCAGUCACACUGGAACUGAGACACGGUCCAGACUCCUACGGGAGGCAGCAGUGGGGAAUAUUGGACAAUGGGCGAAAGCCUGAUCCAGCCAUGCCGCGUGUGUGAAGAAGGUCUUCGGAUUGUAAGGCACUUUAAGUUGGGAGGAAGGGCAGUAAGUUAAUACCUUGCUGUUUUGACGUUACCAACAGAAUAAGCACCGGCUAACUUCGUG
This 484-nucleotide ribosomal RNA is filed under the name uncultured bacterium. RNAcentral describes it as "partial 16S ribosomal RNA". It matches the Rfam family "Bacterial small subunit ribosomal RNA", at positions 30 to 507 of the family's 1533-position model. The record is from RNAcentral.